RNAcentral lists this ribosomal RNA (445 nucleotides) under uncultured bacterium. RNAcentral's name for it is "bacterial SSU rRNA". It matches the Rfam family "Bacterial small subunit ribosomal RNA", at positions 330 to 792 of the family's 1533-position model. The record is from RNAcentral.
UCCAGACUCCUACGGGAGGCAGCAGUGGGGAAUAUUGCACAAUGGGGGAAACCCUGAUGCAGCGACGCCGCGUGAGUGAAGAAGUAAUUCGUUAUGUAAAGCUCUAUCAGCAGGGAAGAAAAUGACGGUACCUGAGUAAGAAGCCCCGGCUAACUACGUGCCAGCAGCCGCGGUAAUACGUAGGGGGCAAGCGUUAUCCGGAUUUACUGGGUGUAAAGGGAGCGUGGACGGAAAGGCAAGUCAGAAGUGAAAGCCCAAGGCUCAACCAUGGGACUGCUUUUGAAACUGUCAAACUAGAGUACGGGAGAGGUAAGAGGAAUUCCUAGUGUAGCGGUGAAAUGCGUAGAUAUUAGGAGGAACACCAGUGGCGAAGGCGACUUUCUGGACUGUACCUGACGCUGAGGCGCGAAAGCGUGGGUAGCGAACGGGAUUAGAUACCCCGGUA